AGUCUGAUGGAGCACGCCGCGUGAGUGAAGAAGGGUUUCGGCUCGUAAAGCUCUGUUGGUAGUGAAGAAAGAUAGAGGUAGUAACUGGCCUUUAUUUGACGGUAAUUACUUAGAAAGUCACGGCUAACUACGUGCCAGCAGCCGCGGUAAUACGUAGGUGGCAAGCGUUGUCCGGAUUUAUUGGGCGUAAAGCGAGUGCAGGCGGUUCAAUAAGUCUGAUGUGAAAGCCUUCGGCUCAACCGGAGAAUUGCAUCAGAAACUGUUGAACUUGAGUGCAGAAGAGGAGAGUGGAACUCCAUGUGUAGCGGUGGAAUGCGUAGAUAUAUGGAAGAACACCAGUGGCGAAGGCGGCUCUCUGGUCUGCAACUGACGCUGAGGCUCGAAAGCAUGGGUAGCGAACAGGAUUAGAUACCCUGGUAGUCCAUGCCGUAAACGAUGAGUGCUAAGUGUUGGGAGGUUUCCGCCUCUCAGUGCUGCAGCUAACGCAUUAAGCACUCCGCCUGGGGAGUACGACCGCAAGGUUGAAACUCAAAGGAAUUGGACGGG
This 546-nucleotide ribosomal RNA is filed under the name Lactobacillus johnsonii. RNAcentral describes it as "bacterial SSU rRNA". It matches the Rfam family "Bacterial small subunit ribosomal RNA", at positions 380 to 918 of the family's 1533-position model. Lineage: Bacteria; Bacillati; Bacillota; Bacilli; Lactobacillales; Lactobacillaceae. The record is from RNAcentral.